GGACAGAACUCUGGAAAGUUUUUUAAUAAACACCGAAGGGGUAAUUUUUUGUUAUCUAUUACUAACAAAAAAAAUCUCUCAGGUAAUAAGACAGAGCAGAAAUA
Molecule: non-coding RNA, 104 nt
Organism: Candidatus Atribacteria bacterium RBG_16_35_8
Lineage: Bacteria; Pseudomonadati; Atribacterota
Source: Rfam